UAAAACAUCAUCAAGAAAAACAUAAUUAUGAAUAUAUUUAAGGUAUUUUGUUUGAUAUGUUUGGUUCUUUUAAAUAUAGCAAUUGUGGAUGCAGGGGCAAGAACUUCUGUUGCUGUAACUGCAAAGGCAAAAACCUCAGUUUCUGUCAAUAAAAUGGAUCCUUGUAAAAAAUAUGGAAAUCGAUUUCCAGGAUGUCCUCCUACCAAGAAACAAAUUGCUUUCAACAAACAAAUUUCUCAUAAAAAAGUUGCUCGUAAAAAAGUAUACGGAUACGGUCAGGGCUUGCUAAGUAGUACACCGUGCAUAGGCGUUUAACAGAAGGAUACAACGGAAGUAAAAAAUGAAGAUAAAUUAUGUAUUACUGAAAAUGUAAGGGUGAAGUUAUGUGUUUUAACAAAAUAUAAGGAUGAAAUAGUAAUUUUUUUCUAUAAUUAUAUUGUAAUUGUAAAUUAUUUAUUGUAAUUAUUGAAGAUUUUGAUUUGAUAUUUUAAAUUUUGAUGACAUCUCUUUUAUUUUCUAUGUACAAUCAUCUUACAUCUUAGAAGGUGACUUCAUAGGUGUGUUAUAUGAAUUAAAUUUUCUGUUUCUUUU
Molecule: long non-coding RNA, 591 nt
Filed under: Jatropha curcas
Lineage: Eukaryota; Viridiplantae; Streptophyta; Magnoliopsida; Malpighiales; Euphorbiaceae
Description: long non-coding RNA (JCUR_LNC001696)
Source: RNAcentral